AAGAGUAUAGUUUAAAUUAAAACAUCAGACUGUAAAUCUGGGGAUAUUUUAUUCUUG
This 57-nucleotide transfer RNA is filed under the name Steinernema glaseri. Its description in RNAcentral is "tRNA-Tyr". It matches the Rfam family "tRNA". From Rfam's summary of the family: Transfer RNA (tRNA) molecules are approximately 80 nucleotides in length. Their secondary structure includes four short double-helical elements and three loops (D, anti-codon, and T loops). Further hydrogen bonds mediate the characteristic L-shaped molecular structure. tRNAs have two regions of fundamental functional importance: the anti-codon, which is responsible for specific mRNA codon recognition, and the 3' end, to which the tRNAs corresponding amino acid is attached (by aminoacyl-tRNA synthetases). tRNAs cope with the degeneracy of the genetic code in two manners: having more than one tRNA (with a specific anti-codon) for a particular amino acid; and 'wobble' base-pairing, i.e. permitting non-standard base-pairing at the 3rd anti-codon position. Lineage: Eukaryota; Metazoa; Nematoda; Chromadorea; Rhabditida; Steinernematidae. The record is from RNAcentral.